This 253-nucleotide ribosomal RNA is filed under the name uncultured prokaryote. RNAcentral describes it as "partial 16S ribosomal RNA". It matches the Rfam family "Bacterial small subunit ribosomal RNA", at positions 525 to 777 of the family's 1533-position model. The record is from RNAcentral.
ACGAAGGGUGCAAGCGUUACUCGGAAUUACUGGGCGUAAAGGGCGCGUAGGUGGCCUUUUGAGUCAGACGUGAAAUCCCCCGGCUUAACCUGGGAACUGCGUCUGAUACUGGAAGGCUCGAGUUCGGGAGAGGGAUGUGAAAUUCCAGGUGUAGCGGUGAAAUGCGUAGAUAUCUGGAGGAACACCGGUGGCGAAGGCGGCAUCCUGGACCGAAACUGACACUGAUGCGCGAAAGCCAGGGGAGCGAACGGGA